Molecule: long non-coding RNA, 210 nt
Filed under: Lathyrus oleraceus (garden pea)
Lineage: Eukaryota; Viridiplantae; Streptophyta; Magnoliopsida; Fabales; Fabaceae
Description: Pisum sativum (pea) long non-coding RNA (PSAT_LNC018084)
Source: RNAcentral
AUAGCAUUGCUCAUUGCUCUUGUCAAACCUCUUCUUUUCACCUCUAAGGUUUCCUUGACCACCAUGUUUAUUGCAACUUCUCUCACCCUGUUAACAAGUCGAAUUGUUUGAAUUUUGGGACUCCCUUCCACCAAAAUUCUGAAAAUUCCCUUUGCUAUUCAUGGGUCAUUUUCCUUUUGAUCGCUUGUCCUUCUCGUUGAAACGAGCUUG